Molecule: long non-coding RNA, 100 nt
Organism: Etheostoma cragini (Arkansas darter)
Lineage: Eukaryota; Metazoa; Chordata; Actinopteri; Perciformes; Percidae
Exons: 3
Source: RefSeq, a predicted model, not a curated record
CAAUUGAACCUCCACUCUGUCAUAAUUAAUACAACUAGAUAAUGUGUAUCAGCUGAUAUAUGGGUCCGAUAACAUUUUAUGAAAUUGGAAUCGCACCACA